GACUUCAAGAAAAGGAAUUCCUGUGGAUCCGAGGGAAAGCGGAUACAGGUAAGAAUAUCACCGUUGUGUGUGGAGCCAACAUCCUUUUCAGAUGUAUCACUGAACUGCCCCACGUCUACAUCAACUACUAAUCCUAGUACUACUACUACAACUCCUACAACAACUACUACUGUUGUUACUACUACUGCUGCUGCGGGAACUACUGCUACUGCCGUUGCUUCUGCCACUUCUACUUCUUCCACGACUAAACAAGCAACAAUGGAGCCCAACACAGUCAGCACACAAAAACCGGGAGGAGUAAAACCAUCAGCUGAGACCUCUUCACCAAAGGGUACUGACAUAUCAACUUCAACAAGAGAACCCCAACCUUCAACACCAAGCAAAGAGGUGUUUAUAAUCGGCGGGAGUGUUGGAGGAGCCGUGUUGAUAGCUGUCAUAGUGACAAUCACAGUGUGCGUACGGCGAAGGAAAAGAAACAGUUCAGAGAAUACAGACCAAAAACGUGAAAUCAUGAACGAAAGCCAAGAGAAUGGAUACAGCUCCAACGGUGCCAGGAACUCCGGCGGUGACAAUGGAUGCAUGUCCAACCCAAUCUACGAGGCAACUGAUGACUACAAGAUGGAGCAGUUACACCGGAAUAGCUGUGGUGACGAGGGCUCUGGACAUGAAACCGUGUCUCCUUACGCCCUGUCCGGACCAGCUCGUCCGGGUCUCAGCCUGAAGAAAAACACCUGGGUGACGCAAAGUAAACUGGACUAUUUUGACGAUAUCCUUUUCAAUGACCAGCCCAGUGGAGAAGAUUCAGAAGAGACAAGCGAUGUUCAAGCUUCAGAUCUCUACGCCAAGGUGAACAAGCCACAGCGGACCGAUCAGGUGUCGGAUAUAUAUGCCAAAGUUGACAAGUCAAGGACGACCGUUCGUGGAACAUCCGGGUCGUGCGCUGAUGGAAGUGAGAAUGAUGACGUCGCUACGCUGUACGCAAAGGUUCAGAAGUGACUCGAAAUGAGGACAUCCUUUUCUGUGUGAAUUGAAUGAGUUAGUUUUACGCCGCUUUUAGCAAUAUUUCAGCAAUAUCACGCGGGGAACACAAGAAAUGGACUUCACACAUUAUUUGUUAAGAAAAUGGGCUUCACACAUUAUUUGUUAAGAACACAUGUUGAUUUGUCUAAUAUUUAAUUGUUAUUUAAUGUGUUCUGAAGUAUGUUCUAACGUGUUGAUUAUCUUCCAUUAUAGCUCUUUCGCCUCUAGUUGUUCUUCUGUUCUCGUCUUUGAUUCAUUUUAAAGUGAUGUAUGUUUUGUUAGUGCCUAUUUUGCCUAUUGCUUGUAUUUAUGUAUAAAACAUUUAUAUAUUUGUUAGCAACAGUUUUUAAAUUUUCUUUGCGUUUAAUAUUUCUGCUAUAUUCAUACCUUAUGACCAUGCUGCUUCUGCAUGUCUAUAGUGUCACGUACAGAUCAAAAACAAUAAACACAAAACCUACA
RNAcentral lists this unclassified non-coding RNA (1479 nucleotides) under Haliotis rubra (blacklip abalone). RNAcentral's name for it is "myb-like protein X, transcript variant X3". Lineage: Eukaryota; Metazoa; Mollusca; Gastropoda; Lepetellida; Haliotidae. The record is from RNAcentral.